RNAcentral lists this ribosomal RNA (465 nucleotides) under uncultured bacterium. RNAcentral's name for it is "partial 16S ribosomal RNA". It matches the Rfam family "Bacterial small subunit ribosomal RNA", at positions 338 to 795 of the family's 1533-position model. The record is from RNAcentral.
CCUACGGGAGGCAGCAGUAGGGAAUCUUCCACAAUGGGCGAAAGCCUGAUGGAGCAACGCCGCGUGGGUGAAGAAGGUCUUCGGAUCGUUAAACCCUGUUGUUAGAGAAGAAAGUGCGUGAGAGUAACUGUUCACGUUUCGACGGUAUCUAACCAGAAAGCCACGGCUAACUACGUGCCAGCAGCCGCGGUAAGACGUAGGUGGCAAGCGUUAUCCGGAUUUAUUGGGCGUAAAGGGAACGCAGGCGGUCUUUUAAGUCUGAUGUGAAAGCCUUCGGCUUAACCGGAGUAGUGCAUUGGAAACUGGGAGACUUGAGUGCAGAAGAGGAGAGUGGAACUCCAUGUGUAGCGGUGAAAUGCGUAGAUAUAUGGAAGAACACCAGUGGCGAAAGCGGCUCUCUGGUCUGUAACUGACGCUGAGGUUCGAAAGCGUGGGUAGCAAACAGGAUUAGAUACCCUAGUAGUC